RNAcentral lists this ribosomal RNA (120 nucleotides) under Cronobacter sakazakii 680. Lineage: Bacteria; Pseudomonadati; Pseudomonadota; Gammaproteobacteria; Enterobacterales; Enterobacteriaceae. The record is from RNAcentral.
UGUCUGGCGGCUGUAGCGCGGUGGCCCCACCUGACCCCAUGCCGAACUCAGAAGUGAAACGCCGUAGCGCCGAUGGUAGUGUGGGGCCUCCCCAUGCGAGAGUAGGGAACUGCCAGACAU